RNAcentral lists this ribosomal RNA (450 nucleotides) under uncultured bacterium. Its description in RNAcentral is "partial 16S ribosomal RNA". It matches the Rfam family "Bacterial small subunit ribosomal RNA", at positions 354 to 796 of the family's 1533-position model. The record is from RNAcentral.
GUGGGGAAUCUUCCGCAAUGGACGAAAGUCUGACGGAGCAACGCCGCGUGAACGAUGACGGCCUUCGGGUUGUAAAGUUCUGUUAUACGGGACGAAUGGUACGACGGCCAAUACCCGUCGUAAGUGACGGUACCGUAAGAGAAAGCCACGGCUAACUACGUGCCAGCAGCCGCGGUAAUACGUAGGUGGCAAGCGUUGUCCGGAAUUAUUGGGCGUAAAGGGCGCACAGGCGGCGUCGUAAGUCGGUCUUAAAAGUGCGGGGCUUAACCCCGUGAGGGGACCGAAACUGCGAUGCUAGAGUAUCGGAGAGGAAAGCGGAAUUCCUAGUGUAGCGGUGAAAUGCGUAGAUAUUAGGAGGAACACCAGUGGCGAAAGCGGCUUUCUGGACGACAACUGACGCUGAGGCGCGAAAGCCAGGGGAGCAAACGGGAUUAGAUACCCGGGUAGUCC